This 253-nucleotide ribosomal RNA is filed under the name uncultured bacterium. RNAcentral describes it as "partial 16S ribosomal RNA". It matches the Rfam family "Bacterial small subunit ribosomal RNA", at positions 524 to 776 of the family's 1533-position model. The record is from RNAcentral.
UACGAAGGGGGCUAGCGUUGCUCGGAAUCACUGGGCGUAAAGGGUGCGUAGGCGGUCGGGUAAGUCUGAUGUGAAAUCUCACAGCUUAACUGUGAAACUGCAUUGGAUACUAUCCGGCUAGAGGAAUGGAGGGGAGACUGGAAUACUUGGUGUAGCAGUGAAAUGCGUAGAUAUCAAGUGGAACACCAGUGGCGAAGGCGAGUCUCUGGACAUUUCCUGACGCUGAGGCACGAAAGCCAGGGGAGCAAACGGG